GUGUCAGCAGCCGCGGUAAUACGGAGGGUGCAAGCGUUGUUCGGAAUUACUGGGCGUAAAGGGCGCGUAGGUGGUUGUGUAAGUCGGAUGUGAAAUCCCCAGGCUCAACUUGGGAACUGCAUCCGAUACUGCAUGACUAGAGUACAGCAGAGGGAAACGGAAUUCCUGGUGUAGAGGUGAAAUUCGUAGAUAUCAGGAGGAACACCGGUGGCGAAGGCGGUUUCCUGGGCUGAUACUGACACUGAGGCGCGAAAGCGUGGGUAGCAAACAGGAUUAGAAACCCCCGUAGUCC
RNAcentral lists this ribosomal RNA (292 nucleotides) under uncultured bacterium. RNAcentral describes it as "partial 16S ribosomal RNA". It matches the Rfam family "Bacterial small subunit ribosomal RNA", at positions 505 to 796 of the family's 1533-position model. The record is from RNAcentral.